CAGUCGCCGCGGUAAUACAGAGGAUGCAAGCGUUAUCCGGAAUGAUUGGGCGUAAAGCGUCUGUAGGUGGCUUUUCAAGUCCGCCGUCAAAUCCCAGGGCUCAACCCUGGACAGGCGGUGGAAACUACCAAGCUGGAGUAAGGUAGGGGCAGAGGGAAUUUCCGGUGGAGCGGUGAAAUGCGUUGAGAUGUGGAGGAACACCAGUGGCGAAGGCGACUCUCUGGUCUGUAACUGACGCUGAGGAGCGAAAGCGUGGGGAGCGAACAGGAUUAGAUACCCGAGUAGUCCCUGUCUCUUAUAC
Molecule: ribosomal RNA, 301 nt
Filed under: uncultured bacterium
Lineage: Bacteria
Description: partial 16S ribosomal RNA
Rfam family: Bacterial small subunit ribosomal RNA
Source: RNAcentral